UCUCUCCUACGGGGGGCAGCAGUGGGGAAUAUUGCACAAUGGGGGAAACCCUGAUGCAGCGACGCCGCGUGAGCGAAGAAGUAUUUCGGUAUGUAAAGCUCUAUCAGCGGGGAAGAAAAAUGACGGUACCUGAGUAAGAAGCACCGGCUAAAUACGUGCCAGCAGCCGCGGUAAUACGUAUGGUGCAAGCGUUAUCCGGAUUUACUGGGUGUAAAGGGAGCGUAGACGGCAUGGCAAGUCUGGAGUGAAAGCCCGGGGCCCAACCCCGGGACUGCUCUGGAAACUGCCAUGCUAGAGUGCUGGAG
Molecule: ribosomal RNA, 305 nt
Filed under: uncultured bacterium
Lineage: Bacteria
Description: bacterial SSU rRNA
Rfam family: Bacterial small subunit ribosomal RNA
Source: RNAcentral